This 1289-nucleotide long non-coding RNA is filed under the name Anas platyrhynchos platyrhynchos (common mallard). RNAcentral's name for it is "lncRNA (ENSAPLG00000024401.1)". The record is from RNAcentral. Lineage: Eukaryota; Metazoa; Chordata; Aves; Anseriformes; Anatidae.
GGACGUAUACCUGGGCAGUCAUAGCAGAACUGCUGAAGUUUCUGUACCCUGAGGAACAUAGAAAAUGUACAAUAAAGCUAAGAAUAAAACAGUAUUUCUCUGUGUUCAGUCCAACCUCCUGUUGCGUUCACUGGAUAGCUAUUAUUACAGACUGUUGUGGAUAAACAGUUGUUUUUCUUCAUGGAUUCAGUUUCCUUAAGAGAAAUAGAGAAAUUAAUAAACCUGAUAAAUCCCCUGCUUCCCUAUUCCCCCCCCCCCCCCCCCCCCCCCCCCCACACACAAAAAAAAAAAGGGGGGGGGGGGGAGUGAGGUGGGGAUAGGACCCAGCAAACCAACCCAAACUCCAAUAACACACACCCCUGUCCCUGUGUGUUAAUGCUAUUUGAGGGUUGGCUGUCCAUAUACCUAAAGUUCAAACCACAGAUACUCAGUUCAAUUUCUGGAGAAACCACAGCAAACUUUGUACAGUGAAUUUCUUGUAUGGCAUUAGGGCUUCAUGCUAUUUCUGUUAUUUGGCAGGAUUAGUUCUAUGGGAUUGCUGUUUCCUUCGUAUUGUAUUUUCACAUUCUUGCUGACUAUACACAUAGAUGUCUGUUCUCUCUCUCUCAUAAAAAUAGAAAAUGUCCUCCAUGAGUUUUAAAAUAAAUAAUACUUUAAAACAAGUUAGAGUUGUCAAAAUAUACGGAACUUGCUUCAGCUGACACAAACUGUGGUUUAACUUAUAAACAGUGAGGCAACUGAGUUGCCAUAUCUUUAUCUAAUCUGAAAUAUGCUUAUUAAGCAUGGGAGAGGAGAUAAUUGUUGCUGUGGGGUCAGAAGGUCUUCAGGAGAGAAAGGGGCAGCAGAGCCGUCAGUGAAAAGAAGAAUGGCUCCAGUCUUUUGUGUUUGGAGGCAGAAGAAAUUUUCUUAGCUUUCUUCAGUGCUAGAAGAAAUCUUUCCAUCCUGAAGGCAGUUAUCCUGCAUCCAAGAGGAGCUUCACAUCUACUUUUUCCUCCUCAAAGAAGACUGGCCUGAUCUUCAUAGUUAUCAGGUUUUGGACCAAGUCCCUCGGCUGUACUCCUGGUGGCAAAAUUUCAUCCUGUUCUGUGACUUUCAAAUCUCAAAUGCAGAUGUGCCAUUCCUUAGAAACAUCACAGGAGUUAUUUGCUCAGAGAGAAGCAAAUUUGUGUGAAUUCAUUAAGUCAAACAGGACCAUAAGUAUGCAUGAUGAACCAUAUGUUUGCCUAAAGAAGUGCUGAAUCAAGUGAACGAAUGUUUUCACAAGUAAAUAAAUGUGUACACAAAUGACA